UGGGGAGUAGCCAAGCGGUAAGGCAGGGGCCUUUGAAGCCCCCAUACGAAGGUUCGAUCCCUUCCUCCCCAG
RNAcentral lists this transfer RNA (72 nucleotides) under Candidatus Moraniibacteriota bacterium. RNAcentral's name for it is "tRNA-Gln". It matches the Rfam family "tRNA". From Rfam's summary of the family: Transfer RNA (tRNA) molecules are approximately 80 nucleotides in length. Their secondary structure includes four short double-helical elements and three loops (D, anti-codon, and T loops). Further hydrogen bonds mediate the characteristic L-shaped molecular structure. tRNAs have two regions of fundamental functional importance: the anti-codon, which is responsible for specific mRNA codon recognition, and the 3' end, to which the tRNAs corresponding amino acid is attached (by aminoacyl-tRNA synthetases). tRNAs cope with the degeneracy of the genetic code in two manners: having more than one tRNA (with a specific anti-codon) for a particular amino acid; and 'wobble' base-pairing, i.e. permitting non-standard base-pairing at the 3rd anti-codon position. Lineage: Bacteria; Candidatus Moraniibacteriota. RNAcentral also lists the same sequence under 1 other name. The record is from RNAcentral.